RNAcentral lists this transfer RNA (68 nucleotides) under Xenophthalmus pinnotheroides. Its description in RNAcentral is "tRNA-Thr". It matches the Rfam family "tRNA". From Rfam's summary of the family: Transfer RNA (tRNA) molecules are approximately 80 nucleotides in length. Their secondary structure includes four short double-helical elements and three loops (D, anti-codon, and T loops). The record is from RNAcentral. Lineage: Eukaryota; Metazoa; Arthropoda; Malacostraca; Decapoda; Xenophthalmidae.
GUUUUAAUAGUUUAUAUCUAAAACCUUGGUCUUGUAAAUCAAAAAUGAAAUAUAAUUUUCUUAAAACU